CCUACGGGCGGCAGCAGUGGGGAAUAUUGGACAAUGGGCGAAAGCCUGAUCCAGCCAUGCCGCGUGUGUGAAGAAGGCCUUCGGGUUGUAAAGCACUUUCAGUGGGGAAGAAAGCCUUGGGGCUAAUACCCUCGAGGAAGGACAUCACCCACAGAAGAAGCACCGGCUAACUCCGUGCCAGCAGUCGCGGUAAUACGGAGGGUGCGAGCGUUAAUCGGAAUUACUGGGCGUAAAGCGCGCGUAGGCGGUCUGAUAAGCCGGUUGUGAAAGCCCCGGGCUCAACCUGGGAACGGCAUCCGGAACUGUCAGGCUAGAGUGCAGGAGAGGAAGGUAGAAUUCCCGGUGUAGCGGUGAAAUGCGUAGAGAUCGGGAGGAAUACCAGUGGCGAAGGCGGCCUUCUGGACUGACACUGACGCUGAGGUGCGAAAGCGUGGGUAGCAAACAGGAUUAGAUACCCCAGUAGUC
Molecule: ribosomal RNA, 465 nt
Filed under: Vreelandella stevensii
Lineage: Bacteria; Pseudomonadati; Pseudomonadota; Gammaproteobacteria; Oceanospirillales; Halomonadaceae
Description: partial 16S ribosomal RNA
Rfam family: Bacterial small subunit ribosomal RNA
Source: RNAcentral